Meleagris gallopavo (turkey) is the source of this 394-nucleotide non-coding RNA. Lineage: Eukaryota; Metazoa; Chordata; Aves; Galliformes; Phasianidae. The record is from RefSeq and is a predicted model, not a curated record.
UGCCAUCUGUUAGGCCACGAAGCACAAGCAAUAUCAGAAGAAAAUUCCAAAGUAGCCAUGCUCUGAGAGUAUUUUGUCCUGAACUGAGUAACACUCAAAUGUUAUCUGAAUGUUGGAAGAAACCAUUUCAAAGAAAAAUCUUUACAAGCAAUUAUGCAUGCUGAAGCAAUCUACAUAGCAUACAGAAGAUUAUGAUCAUUACUGGCAUAUGACGAUUGUGAAUUUCUGCCACCCGGAUCAUGAGCACAUGAUGAUAUUUGGAUUUUGGGAUAAUUGAUUGUUAUUCAGGUCAUUAUAUACCACCUCCAAGCACAGCUAAUUCCCUCAGAAUUCUUUCAUAAAUGGAUGCGCUUGAGGAAGAGUCUGAAGAAGGAAGAAUGCUCAGAAGACAGAA